RNAcentral lists this ribosomal RNA (496 nucleotides) under uncultured bacterium. RNAcentral describes it as "partial 16S ribosomal RNA". It matches the Rfam family "Bacterial small subunit ribosomal RNA", at positions 28 to 506 of the family's 1533-position model. The record is from RNAcentral.
GAUGAACGCUGGCGGCGUGCCUAAUACAUGCAAGUCGAGCGAACAGACGAGGAGCUUGCUCCUCUGACGUUAGCGGCGGACGGGUGAGUAACACGUGGAUAACCUACCUAUAAGACUGGGAUAACUUCGGGAAACCGGAGCUAAUACCGGAUAAUAUAUUGAACCGCAUGGUUCAAUAGUGAAAGACGGUUUUGCUGUCACUUAUAGAUGGAUCCGCGCCGCACUAGCUAGUUGGUAAGGUAACGGCUUACCAAGGCAACGAUGCGUAGCCGACCUGAGAGGGUGAUCGGCCACACUGGAACUGAGACACGGUCCAGACUCCUACGGGAGGCAGCAGUAGGGAAUCUUCCGCAAUGGGCGAAAGCCUGACGGAGCAACGCCGCGUGAGUGAUGAAGGUCUUCGGAUCGUAAAACUCUGUUAUUAGGGAAGAACAAAUGUGUAAGUAACUAUGCACGUCUUGACGGUACCUAAGCAGAAAGCCACGGCUAACUACGU